ACCAGGUCCUCCUUAUCUAAAAUGGUUAAAUAAGGGGUGAGUUACACUAACCCAGUAAGGACAUCACAAUAUAUCCCCGUCACAGAAGUACAGGUUCGUAGAAAAUAAAAAACAACCAAUGGAGUACAAAUUUUAAACCAAUACGUUCAUUAAAAUUAAAAUCAUUUUCCCUUUUUCUUACAUUUGGAGAACCUGUGAAAACAACCUAUAAAGACAAUAACAUCAUACAGAUCAUAACUUCAUGCACAAUCAGUAACAUAGAACAUAUCAUAAAUUCAUAUUCAUUACCCAUAACUAAUCAUCAUCGUUUCUCAUUUCACCAGCCUACUAGUAUCCAUGGGGAUUCAUAGGGGUGUCCCCGCUACACGUGAACCCUUUCCAUUAACAAUCUUAAUUCCAAGACCGUCCCCAUACCCCGUCCGAUAUGAGCGCCAAGACUAAUAACCUCAAUACCCCGUCCGGUAUGAGGCUGAAGCGGGUCGUCCCCAUAUAUCGUCUGGUAUGAGCGCUAAAUGACCAAGUCUCCAUACCUCGUCCAGUAUGAGAUAACGUUCACGGUAGGGUUCCCUACGAACCCAGCCCGUCCACCAUCUCCUAGGAUAUCUAGUGAGACUGUCAUCUUAUCCAUUUAUCAGAUCACAUCCCAUUCCUAUUUGUCCUUAGUCUCCGUCACCAAAUCAAACAUAAAUACAUAAACAAGUAACGUGCAUCCAAUAAUG
RNAcentral lists this long non-coding RNA (719 nucleotides) under Carica papaya (papaya). RNAcentral's name for it is "long non-coding RNA (CPAP_LNC002474)". Lineage: Eukaryota; Viridiplantae; Streptophyta; Magnoliopsida; Brassicales; Caricaceae. The record is from RNAcentral.